Molecule: ribosomal RNA, 497 nt
Filed under: uncultured bacterium
Lineage: Bacteria
Description: partial 16S ribosomal RNA
Rfam family: Bacterial small subunit ribosomal RNA
Source: RNAcentral
GAUGAACGCUGGCGGCGUGCCUAAUACAUGCAAGUCGAGCGAACAGAUAAGGAGCUUGCUCCUUUGACGUUAGCGGCGGACGGGUGAGUUACACGUGGAUAACCUACCUAUAAGACUGGGAUAACUUCGGGAAACCGGAGCUAAUACCGGAUAACCUAUUGAACCGCAUGGUUCAAUAGUGAAAGGCGGCUUUGCUGUCACUUAUAGAUGGAUCCGCGCCGUAUUAGCUAGUUGGUAAGGUAACGGCUUACCAAGGCAACGAUACGUAGCCGACCUGAGAGGGUGAUCGGCCACACUGGAACUGAGACACGGUCCAGACUCCUACGGGAGGCAGCAGUAGGGAAUCUUCCGCAAUGGGCGAAAGCCUGACGGAGCAACGCCGCGUGAGUGAUGAAGGUCUUCGGAUCGUAAAACUCUGUUAUCAGGGAAGAACAAAUGUGUAAGUAACUGUGCACAUCUUGACGGUACCUGAUCAGAAAGCCACGGCUAACUACGUG